UGGCGGCGUGCUUAAUACAUGCAAGUCGAACGCUCUUGACCUUCGGGUCACUAAGAGAGUGGCGAACGGGUGCGUAACACGUGAGAAACCUACCCCGAAGACGGGAAUAGCCCGAGGAAACUCGGAUUAAUACCCGAUAUCUCCACACUGUCGCAUGGCAGAGUGAAGAAAGUUCAGGCGCUUCGGGAGGGUCUCGCGGCCUAUCAGCUUGUUGGUGAGGUAACGGCUCACCAAGGCAUCGACGGGUAGCUGGUCUGAGAGGAUGAUCAGCCACACUGGGACUGAGACACGGCCCAGACUCCUACGGGAGGCAGCAGUAGGGAAUCUUGCGCAAUGGGCGAAAGCCUGACGCAGCAACGCCGCGUGGGGGAUGAAUGCCUUCGGGUUGUAAACCCCUUUCAGCAGGGACGAAAUUGACGGUACCUGCAGAAGAAGGUCCGGCCAACUACGUGCCAGCAGCCGCGGUAAUACGUAGGGACCAAGCGUUGUCCGGAAUUAUUGGGCGUAAAGAGCUCGUAGGCGGUUCAGUAAGUCGGGUGUGAAAACUCAAGGCUCAACCUUGAGACGCCACUCGAUACUGCUGUGACUUGAGUCCGGUAGAGGAGUGUGGAAUUCCUGGUGUAGCGGUGAAAUGCGCAGAUAUCAGGAGGAACACCAGCGGCGAAGGCGGCACUCUGGGCCGGUACUGACGCUGAGGAGCGAAAGCAUGGGGAGCAAACAGGAUUAGAUACCCUGGUAGUCCAUGCCGUAAACGUUGGGCACUAGGUAUGGGACCAUAUCAACGGGUUCCGUGCCGUAGCUAACGCAUUAAGUGCCCCGCCUGGGGAGUACGGCCG
RNAcentral lists this ribosomal RNA (836 nucleotides) under uncultured Iamiaceae bacterium. RNAcentral describes it as "bacterial SSU rRNA". It matches the Rfam family "Bacterial small subunit ribosomal RNA", at positions 37 to 888 of the family's 1533-position model. Lineage: Bacteria; Bacillati; Actinomycetota; Acidimicrobiia; Acidimicrobiales; Iamiaceae. The record is from RNAcentral.